This 271-nucleotide ribosomal RNA is filed under the name uncultured Streptococcus sp. RNAcentral describes it as "partial 16S ribosomal RNA". It matches the Rfam family "Bacterial small subunit ribosomal RNA", at positions 1111 to 1382 of the family's 1533-position model. Lineage: Bacteria; Bacillati; Bacillota; Bacilli; Lactobacillales; Streptococcaceae. The record is from RNAcentral.
UUAGUUGCCAUCAUUCAGUUGGGCACUCUAGCGAGACUGCCGGUAAUAAACCCGGAGGAAGGUGGGGAUGACGUCAAAUCAUCAUGCCCCUUAUGACCUGGGCUACACACGUGCUACAAUGGUUGGUACAACGAGUUGCGAGUCGGUGACGGCGAGCUAAUCUCUUAAAGCCAAUCUCAGUUCGGAUUGUAGGCUGCAACUCGCCUACAUGAAGUCGGAAUCGCUAGUAAUCGCGGAUCAGCACGCCGCGGUGAAUACGUUCCCGGGCCUU